GUGUGAGGUCAGCACUGCCCUUGAUAAGAAGAGGCGAGGUCCCUGUGUCCCAUACAACACAUACAUGGUUAAGGCACUGCCACUUACUGCAUGACAUCUAACCAUCUUUUCAC
This is a small nuclear RNA of Colius striatus (speckled mousebird), 113 nucleotides long. NCBI's taxonomy places the organism in Eukaryota, Metazoa, Chordata, Aves, Coliiformes, Coliidae. The record is from Rfam.